AUUGAACGCUGGCGGCAGGCCUAACACAUGCAAGUCGAGCGGAUGAAGGGAGCUUGCUCCUGGAUUCAGCGGCGGACGGGUGAGUAAUGCCUAGGAAUCUGCCUGGUAGUGGGGGAUAACGUCCGGAAACGGGCGCUAAUACCGCAUACGUCCUGAGGGAGAAAGUGGGGGAUCUUCGGACCUCACGCUAUCAGAUGAGCCUAGGUCGGAUUAGCUAGUUGGUGGGGUAAAGGCCUACCAAGGCGACGAUCCGUAACUGGUCUGAGAGGAUGAUCAGUCACACUGGAACUGAGACACGGUCCAGACCCCUACGGGAGGCAGCAGUGGGGAAUAAUGGACAAUGGGCGAAAGCCUGAUCCAGCCAUGCCGCGUGUGUGAAGAAGGUCUUCGGAUUGUAAAGCACUUUAAGUUGGGAGGAAGGGCAGUAAGUUAAUACCUUGCUGUUUUGACGUUACCAACAGAAUAAGCACCGGCUAACUUCGUG
RNAcentral lists this ribosomal RNA (484 nucleotides) under uncultured bacterium. Its description in RNAcentral is "partial 16S ribosomal RNA". It matches the Rfam family "Bacterial small subunit ribosomal RNA", at positions 30 to 507 of the family's 1533-position model. The record is from RNAcentral.